AUAUCUCUCCGUACGGGAAGGAUGAGAAGCUUCGACUAAGGUUCGAUUCGAGCGAAGCGAGAAAGCGUUGCCGCAGGCAACGACCCGAAGGGCGAAGCGCGCAGCGCUGAGUCAUCCUUCCCCCACCACCA
RNAcentral lists this small RNA (131 nucleotides) under Salmonella enterica subsp. enterica. Its description in RNAcentral is "RtT sRNA". It matches the Rfam family "RtT RNA". From Rfam's summary of the family: This family represents a bacterial cis-regulatory element known as RtT RNA. The exact function of RtT is unknown although it is thought that it may be involved in changing the cellular response in relation to amino acid starvation. Lineage: Bacteria; Pseudomonadati; Pseudomonadota; Gammaproteobacteria; Enterobacterales; Enterobacteriaceae. The record is from RNAcentral. RNAcentral also lists the same sequence under 3 other names.